Molecule: long non-coding RNA, 968 nt
Filed under: Homo sapiens (human)
Lineage: Eukaryota; Metazoa; Chordata; Mammalia; Primates; Hominidae
Description: HSALNT0298601
Source: RNAcentral
GCAAUCCUCCCACUUCAGCCUCCCAAGCAGCUGGGACUGCAGGCAUCCGCCACCAUGCCUGGCUGAGUUUAUCCAUUUUCUCCUCCUCCAGCCCCCAUCUGCUGCUGCCACUUGAAAGACUAUAUAAUGUUAACAGCAUGGGCUCUAGUGACUGCCAGCUUAGGUUGGAAUCCUGGCUUUGCCCUUGACGAGCUGUGUGACCCUGGGCAAAUUAUGUAGCCCCUCUGUGCCUUAGUUUCUACCCUUGUAAAAACAAUAAUAAUGUUAUUAUUUUCAUUAACUAACCUCUAGCCUACCUUGUGGAGGUGCUUGUGAUGAUUAAAUGGGUUAAUAUUUAUAAAGUACUUAGAAUAGUGCCUAAAGCAGAGCAGGCACUGAAUAAAUGCCAGCUAUUAUUUCUACUACCUUCACUCCUACUGGCCAUGGGGACACCUCUGGUGGUCCUGCCAUAAGUUGCCAAAGCAAUGGGGGUUUAUUACAAGGUAAGGGACAAUGCCCUCUUUGUAAUAUGACAUCAAAGGCAGGUACAGCUUAUGUCCAGUGUUUUCUGAAAUUACCACUGUGAUGGUUAAUUUUAGGUGCCAACUUGACUGGAUUAAGGAAUAGAGAACUGGUGAAGCACUGUUUCUGGGUGUGUCUGCCAGGGUUUCCACAGGAGACUGCCCUCCCUUCUUAUACCAUCCUCCAAAGGACUGAGAUGAGCUAUGAGUCCAUGGGCACCCAGGCUAGAAGGCAAGUGAGUGACCGACACCAUCUACCCUCCCUCCCUCAGGGUUUUGUUACGGGCUCAGCUGGGUCCAGUCUGGCUCCAGCUCCCUUAGGAUGAGUUCUGCCCAGGAGACUCUUUCCUUCCUCACCUAGAUAGACUUCUUUGAAUCCCCCUCUUCCCAGUGCUUCCAAAGGGGGAAUUUAAAUCUGAUUCUUUAAAAAUAAUGAAACACCAGCUGUAUCAUUAAAUUAUUUCUAAG